UGGACGUUUGCGAUGGUUGCAAGACAAGGAGUACGAUCGAGCACAUCUUUACGUACUUGCAAACAGUGGCAUCUUAAGUGAUUAUGAAAGGCGAUUCGAGGAUUAUAUUGUCAAUUCAAGACCGAACAUUGCUAAGGAUGAUGUGUGGAGCAAAUGCGAAGCCGAGUUCCCUAGUUGGUUCAAGACAAAUGUCCUUGGUGCCAUGACAAGUGACGAUGUCACUCGAGCUCUUGCUAUGGGUCCUUCCAGACAAGUGAGAACGUGGAAUCAGUUCUUUGUGAAUGGAUAUAACUUUCAUACACAGGAAUAUGGCAAGAAUAAGUCAACUAUGAACUAUGGUGUAUGUGUACAAGCUGCUGAUAGAGCUGAUUACUUUGGCAUUUUGGAGGAGGUUAUUGAA
Molecule: long non-coding RNA, 400 nt
Organism: Beta vulgaris subsp. vulgaris (sugar beet)
Lineage: Eukaryota; Viridiplantae; Streptophyta; Magnoliopsida; Caryophyllales; Amaranthaceae
Exons: 3
Source: RefSeq, a predicted model, not a curated record